GGACCCGCACAAGCAGUGGAGCAUGUGGUUUAAUUCGAUGCUACGCGAAAAACCUUACCAACCCUUGUAUCUAGUUGACCGGCUAAGAGAUUAGCCUUCGGUUCGCCGCAGCUAAGACAGGUGUUGCAUGGCUGUCGUCAGCUCGUGUCGUGAGAUGUUAGGUUAAGUCCUUCAACGAGCGCAACCCUCAUCCUUAUUUGCCAUCGGGUUAUGCCGGGAACUAUAAGGAAACUGCCAGCGAUAAGCUGGAGGAAGGUGGGGACGAUGUCAAGUCAUCAUGGCCCUUAUGGGUUGGGCUACACACAUGCUACAAUGGUGAUUACAGUGGGACGCUAAGGAGCAAUCUGGAGCAAAUCCUCAAAAGUCAUCUCAGUUCGGAUUGAGGGCUGCAACUCGCCCUCAUGAAGUUGGAAUUGCUAGUAAUCGUAAAUC
This 432-nucleotide ribosomal RNA is filed under the name uncultured bacterium. RNAcentral's name for it is "bacterial SSU rRNA". It matches the Rfam family "Bacterial small subunit ribosomal RNA", at positions 917 to 1350 of the family's 1533-position model. The record is from RNAcentral.